ACCAGAGUGGCGUAAUGGUUUGAGAAUGCUGGACUAUGACUCUGGAGGCCAGGGUUCGAGUCCCGCCUCAGCCA
Phrynosoma platyrhinos (Desert horned lizard) is the source of this 74-nucleotide non-coding RNA. The record is from the annotation of a GenBank genome assembly. NCBI's taxonomy places the organism in Eukaryota, Metazoa, Chordata, Lepidosauria, Squamata, Phrynosomatidae.